GACUCUUGAAACGGUGUCGGGAUAGUAGCCUAGUCUGUCAACACAUAUGGACCACGACAUGCUUCACGUUUCUGUAUAAGAGGCGCAUCUUCCACGAGAAGCUGGGGAAGGCACUCGUGGUACCGCAUAUACAACGGAGGCAGCACAAGGACCCCAACCACUGCAGCCACAGUGAGGGAGAUCCAGGAGAGGGUUGCACCUAGUACACCAAUGCCUGAGGUUGCUGCUGGGGGAAGAAGGAAGUGGAAGAGGUGCCAGGUCUGCAUGACGUCAAGAUGAGCACGACAUGUGCGACGUGCAAAAUUCAUUUGCACAAAGCAUACCGUGACGACUUGUCCCUCAUGUGCUGUGUAGAUACACAGAUACACACGCACACACACACACGCCUCGUUCAU
Anguilla anguilla (European eel) is the source of this 395-nucleotide long non-coding RNA. RefSeq lists it as uncharacterized. NCBI's taxonomy places the organism in Eukaryota, Metazoa, Chordata, Actinopteri, Anguilliformes, Anguillidae. The transcript has 3 exons. The record is from RefSeq and is a predicted model, not a curated record.